UACGGAGGGUGCGAGCGUUGUUCGGAAUUACUGGGCGUAAAGCGCGUGUAGGCGGCUGUCCAAGUCUGAUGUGAAAGCCCGGGGCUUACCCUCGAAAGUGCAUUGGAAACUGGGCGGCUAGAGUAUCGGAGAGGAGGGUGGAAUUCCUGGUGUAGCGGUGAAAUGCGUAGAUAUCAGGAAGAACACCGGUGGCGAAGGCGGCCCUCUGGACGAAUACUGACGCUGAGACGCGAAAGCGUGGGGAGCAAACAGG
RNAcentral lists this ribosomal RNA (253 nucleotides) under uncultured bacterium. Its description in RNAcentral is "partial 16S ribosomal RNA". It matches the Rfam family "Bacterial small subunit ribosomal RNA", at positions 524 to 776 of the family's 1533-position model. The record is from RNAcentral.